AAGUAUCUUAUAUGAGAAAUAACAAUAGAAAAACAAAAAAAUAAAAGCGGCCAUUUCCAUUUUCCUUUUUUUGUUGUUGUUGUUGUUGGUUCAAUCUCGUAUCUUAUAAUACGUCAUAUAUAUUCUAGUUUAAUGCUAUUUGAUAGAUUGGUGAUAUUGCCGGCCCAGUGGAGCCAAUACUUUGAUGGGAUUACACAUACGUACGUACCGGUACGUGUACGACAGUUGCAAAGUAUAAAAAAGAAUUUCUCGAAAUGUUAAUGGAAUGUUGACGUGUUGAAUAGGUCGCCUAAUCACCCCCCACCCAAAGAAAGAACCACUCGUCAGGUCUAUUAAGGUUAUUAGUUUUAUUUUUAUAUUUGGAUAGCCCCACCCCAUUUCUCCCUCCCCACCCCCAUAUCGAUUUCAGAAUAGACUGGCGAUGACGGCUGGUUACCUAACUGCUGCGACUGGCUGAUGGACGUGCUGAAAUUUUUAUUUUUAUUAUUUCCGAACCCCAGUCGUAAUUUUAGCAUUUAGGCUCUUUCUAUAUUUAUUUAUUAUUUUUUUCCCGCGGUCGAUAAUCACGUAACAUUCGGCCGUGACGAUGUCCGCACCUUUUUCGGUAUUACACGAGAGAUAGAGAGAGAGAGGUGGGGGCAGAUAUCUAAUAACCAGAGAGGAAGAAAUGAUUUACACGUCAAAAGAGGAGGACGUUGUAAAACAUUCACGGCGGCUUCUACACACACACAUCUUCUUCUUCUUCUUCUUCACAAUUCUCUUUUGUGCAUAAAUAAUUCGUCGUGAGGAGAAGACGAAAAAAAAAAGUUGUUUAUUUUUUCUACCAUCCGGAUAGAGCCCCUCGAGGGUCUGUAAUAUACAGCCUUCAGAAUUUGAUUGUAUUUACUACCACUCGAUAUUAUUGUCUAGGGAUUAUUAUAUUAUAUCGUUGGUCUCUCUCUAAUCGGAUUUGUCAAUAGAGGUGAAACUAUUCUCUAUAAUUGUGUGUCUAGAAAAAACUUUUGUUUGUUUGUUUGUUUGGUUCUCAAGUGAUUAUAUUCUCCAACCAACUUUUUUUUAUUAUUAUUAUUAUUUUCCGGAAGAUAAAAUACGGAAACCUAAAAGUUUCACUUUUGCUUUAUCCUUUUCUCUUAUUAAUAAUCUCACAGAAAUAACGAAACUUUUUUUUCCGGGAAAGAAAAAAAAAAUCCUUCCGGCUUAACAUCUACUCCGCACUUUUAUGUUGAAUGGAGAUGGCGCUGGGAUCGGAAAGCGCGUGAUCCGCCCGCGGAAUACAACAACACCAAUCAAUCCCGCGGCCUCGUAUCGUAUCAUCACAUACGCACCUCUCUAUAUAUGUACGCGAUUGUUCUAUAGGAGCUUCAAUCCGGUCCGGUUGUUUUUCGUUCCCGUUGACCGCCGAUGGCGGCAGCCACUCUCUAUACAGUUGCGCCGAUGGAAUACGUAAGAGCGGCACCCCUUUCUCUCUCAUCCAGCUCAUUACACAGGAAAAAAGAAAAAGAAAAAAAGGUUUUAUUUAGAAUUUUCUAUCCGUUAAAAAUAAAAUAAAAAAAAGGUCAUUACCAUCAUCAUAAAUCCGCCAUUAGAGACGGACAGGAGAAUCGCUCAUCAUUCCCGGCACAUACUACACACACUCCAUGUAUACUACCACCCCUAUAUAUAUUCUCACAUUUCCCGUUUGGUCUCUUCUAUAACAAACGGCUCUCGGUUCUCUGUAGAGAUAAAUAAAUGCAUGAGCCUUUUGGAUUAAAGUUCAGCCCUUUUUCAGUGAUGUGAUGAUAUUCUCAGCAGCAGCAGCAACAGCAGCAGGGCCAUAAUUGGCUAAUUUUAUGUUUGGAAUUGCCCAUAACUGGAUCGCCGUGUAAUAACAAAUGGUGAAAAGAAUAUCAAAUCAUUUUUUCUUCUUCUUUUUCUAACCGGUUGGAAGAUUUUUGUGAGCCGACGACGACGACAGGCUGGCACAAGUGAAGAGCCGAGAUGUUUGCGAGAGUCAUUCAUCAGUUUCAAAUGUCUUAGACCGGCGCUGCUGACAGCAGCCAAGACAACACACGAGAAAGGCUUAUAGACGACAGCGGGAAUCUGCGCCGUGAGCCGCCAGCAAAUCAAGAAAAAGGAAGAAAACAAAAAAUGUUGUUAUCGAUCGAAUAUGUGACGUCCAGCUCUUUUCUUUUCCCCCUGGACAAUGGACAGUCGACACUUUAUUUUUUGGGCUAUUCAAAACGCGUACGUUACACAACGAUUAGACCGUGUAGAGAGACAAUCCCGCGUGAGUUACGGUCGAUUCAUCAUCCCAGCGCAGAUUUUUAUACAAGGGGAAAACCGACAACAACAACAACAACAGCACACCGGUUAAGGAUUUAAUUUCGCCCAUAUCCAGUUGGGUUGUGUUAAGUGUCUGCCGUUGAAAAUCGCCUCGCCUAUAAUAGUAGCAGCUUAAUAGUUAUAUUCUUCAACAAAAUGUUGGCUGGCUGCUGCAGUGCUGCUGCCUUUUGGUUUUUCUCUCUCAUUUGCAUCAGCCAACUGUGGCCGAUUAUUGGCCGGUUGCCAACUCGAAUCAUUUUCUAUUCACCAACUUGUUAAAAAUUUUGGUUUGAGCUCUUUUGUGUUAUUUAAUCCAAUAGGAUUCCGUGUCCAUGUCGCAUUGAAAAUCACCACAGACGCAUCUUCUUCUUCUUCUUUAUAAGGACAUUUCACAUUUUGUUUUGGUUUUCCUGGAUGUGGGGGGGAUAGUAUCGACCUUAAAACCCCCCGUUGUUUUAAAAAAAAAAUAUUCUUCUUCACAUUUUUGGGAACAUAUGGAAAAAGUCGUUUGAAUAUUUUGUCCAUGUUAUUGUAGAGCUCGGGAUUGGGUUGAAAUUUCAAAAAAAGUACCGAGAAAUCUCUUUUGUGUCCAGCCAACAGCUCCAACAACAAAUUGUUCGCAUGUGUAGACUCAUUAAUCAUCGUGAAUAAUAAUGAUUAGUUCAAAAGAAAAACCAGACUGUUUUUCGUUCCAUGUUAUAGCCUUCUGGGUGGGUUUAGUACAUAAUAAUGGCUGACGUGUGUUGUCUAUGCCACACGAUCGAUAAUUUCCCCGCUGGCUCUUUUUUUUUGCUAUUAAAAAUCAAAAUGAAUUAGGAUAAAGCUAGCUGGGCUCCUUUUGGUUAAAAAUGUCCUUUUUAAGAUUUCGUCUGGAAUUUCGUGUAAUUUUCCAAACAAAACGGGACCCCGAAAUUUGUUCUUAUAUAGUCGCAAUAAACAGUCUCGUUUUUGAAAGUUUAACCGGUUGCGCGCAUCAGCAGUUGAAUAUAACGAAAUAAAAUUGUAUAGGACACGUAGGGCGGGUACACACACAACCUUUAGACUGCUACGACUAUACGUAGGAAUGUGUUAUUCCACCACGACAUUUUCGAAACGGCCAUGCCAGGAGAUUGUUGGAUCAUCCAGCUGAGAGAAACGACGUCUGAGCACCAGCACCGGGUAGGAAACAAAAUAUAAGAAGAGGUCUUGUUUAUAGCGCUUGAGGCGCCCAUUGAUAUAAAUCAGUAUUCCAAUGACUCGGGUAAGAUCCUUCCAUGAAAAAUAAGAAAAAAUCCCCUCCGACUAAAUCAACAAGGAAAAAGCUAAGAAAGAAAAGAACGAACGAAAAGUUUGUGUGUUUUUAGUAUUAUUUCCCCCCCAUUUUUGGGGGCGACUUGUGCGCGCUGGCUGCUGGCUGCUGUGCUCCAUUCGACAUGGAAUCUAAUUUUCUAUUUAAAAAUAUACAAAAAGAUAUGGUGGGCCCUCGGGAGGUCGCUACUGACCGAAAUUUUUUUGUUUCUUGGUGCUCUAUGGCAUCUCUCUCUUUCUCCCUGUGCUAGACUCGUGUAUUUAUUUGUUGGGCCCCCAGGCGCAUUUUUCGUGCAAUCUCAACAAACGUGAGUCAAUAUUACGUUGCGUCUUUUUAAUAUAAAAGAAAAAGAAAAAAAAGAUUUUAUUUUAUUUUUUCCUAGAAACUUUUUUUUUUAUUUUUUUUAUUUGCAUUCCCCUCCUUUCCCUUUUUUGGAGGGGCCCCGUUUUGUUUAUCUUCUCUCCCACACGCAUUUUCAAUGAUACAAUCACAACAACAAC
Molecule: long non-coding RNA, 4089 nt
Organism: Daphnia pulex (common water flea)
Lineage: Eukaryota; Metazoa; Arthropoda; Branchiopoda; Diplostraca; Daphniidae
Exons: 3
Source: RefSeq, a predicted model, not a curated record